Molecule: non-coding RNA, 204 nt
Filed under: Fusibacter sp.
Lineage: Bacteria; Bacillati; Bacillota; Clostridia; Eubacteriales; Fusibacteraceae
Description: T-box sequence
Rfam family: T-box leader
About the family: Uncharged tRNA acts as the effector for transcription antitermination of genes in the T-box leader family. T-boxes are found upstream of many aminoacyl-tRNA synthetase genes and some amino acid biosynthetic genes usually in Gram-positive bacteria.
Source: RNAcentral
UAUUAACCUGUGAUGAGAAAAGUACAGACUAUGAAGUCCAAGCGAGUGGGGAAUGGUGUGAGCCCAUGACUAAAAUUUUCUGGAAAAGGGCCUCGGAGGUUGCUUAUUGAGCCUAGCAAAAUAAGCACGGUAACCCCGUUAUAGGUUUCGAGUGAGUGCUAUGCACUAACAAGAGUGGUACCGCGGAUAAGCUCCGUCUCUUUU